Molecule: non-coding RNA, 23 nt
Filed under: Arabidopsis thaliana (thale cress)
Lineage: Eukaryota; Viridiplantae; Streptophyta; Magnoliopsida; Brassicales; Brassicaceae
Source: RNAcentral
UUGCCCCUAACAAAAGUUUGGUC